GUCUACAGCCAAAGCACAAUGAACACACCCGAUCUCAUCUGAUCUCAGAAACUAAAUCAGUCCUGGUUAAUACGUGGAUGGAAGAAAUACAGAUAGGGUACAAACUAAAGCUGGUGCCU
This 119-nucleotide ribosomal RNA is filed under the name Fukomys damarensis (Damara mole-rat). Lineage: Eukaryota; Metazoa; Chordata; Mammalia; Rodentia; Bathyergidae. The record is from RNAcentral.